This 317-nucleotide ribosomal RNA is filed under the name uncultured beta proteobacterium. RNAcentral describes it as "bacterial SSU rRNA". It matches the Rfam family "Bacterial small subunit ribosomal RNA", at positions 8 to 332 of the family's 1533-position model. Lineage: Bacteria; Pseudomonadati; Pseudomonadota; Betaproteobacteria. The record is from RNAcentral.
AGAGUUUGAUCCUGGCUCAGAUUGAACGCUGGCGGUAUGCUUUACACAUGCAAGUCGAACGGGCUUGGGGGCUUGCUCCCGGGUUAGUGGCGAACGGGUGAGUAAUAUAUCGGAACAUAUCCGGAAGUGGGGGAUAACGUAGCGAAAGUUACGCUAAUACCGCAUAUGCCCUGAGGGGGAAAGGGGGGGAUCGCAAGACCUCUCGCUUUCGGAGUGGCCGAUACCGGAUUAGCUAGAUGGUGAGGUAAAGGCUCCCCAUGGCGACGAUCCGUAGCGGGUCUGAGAGGACGACCCGCCACACUGAACUGAGACACGUC